AUUGAACGCUGGCGGAAUGCUUUACACAUGCAAGUCGAACGGUAGAGGGGGCAACCCCUCGAGAGUGGCGAACGGGUGAGUAAUAUAUCGGAACGUGCCCAGUCGUGGGGGAUAACGUAGCGAAAGCUGUGCUAAUACCGCAUAAUCCCUUAGGGGGAAAGCGGGGGACCGUAAGGCCUCGCGCAAUUAGAGCGGCCGAUACCUGAUUAGCUAGUUGGUGAGGUAAAGGCUCACCAAGCCGACGAUCCAUAGCUGGUUUGAGAGGAUGAUCAGCCACACUGGGACUGAGACACGGCCCAGACUCCUACGGGAGGCAGCAGUGGGGAAUCUUAGACAAUGGGCGCAAGCCUGAUCUAGCCAUGCCGCGUGAGCGAUGAAGGCCUUAGGGUUGUAAAGCUCUUUCAGUGGGGAAGAUAAUGACUGUACCCACAGAAGAAGCCCCGGCUAACUCCGUG
Molecule: ribosomal RNA, 455 nt
Filed under: uncultured bacterium
Lineage: Bacteria
Description: bacterial SSU rRNA
Rfam family: Bacterial small subunit ribosomal RNA
Source: RNAcentral